GAUGAACGCUAGCGGCAGGCCUAAUACAUGCAAGCCGGACGGCAAGUUGAGUAGCAAUACUUGACCUAGAGUGGCGUAAGGGUGCGUAACACGUAUGCAAAUCUGCCCACAGCCGGGAGAUAGCCCUCCGAAAGGAGGAUUAAUAUCCCAUAGGAAGAUGAGAUGGCAUCAUUUUAUUUUAAACUACGGGGCUGUGGAUGAGCAUGCGGUUGAUUAGCUAGUUGGCGGGGUAAAGGCCCACCAAGGCGAUGAUCAAUAGGGGGACCUGAGAGGGUGAUCCCCACACUGGCACUGAGAUACGGGCCAGACUCCUACGGGAGGCAGCAGUAGGGAAUAUUGGACAAUGGGGUGUAAGCC
Molecule: ribosomal RNA, 357 nt
Filed under: uncultured bacterium
Lineage: Bacteria
Description: bacterial SSU rRNA
Rfam family: Bacterial small subunit ribosomal RNA
Source: RNAcentral